GAUGAACGCUGGCGGCGUGCCUAAUACAUGCAAGUCGAGCGGAAGGACGAGAAGCUUGCGUCACUGAUGUUAGCGGCGGACGGGUGAGUAACACGUGGAUAACCUACCUAUAAGACUGGAAUAACUGCGGGAAACCGGAGCUAAGACCGGAUAAUAUUUUGAACCGCAUGGUUCAAAAGUGAAAGCCGGUCUUGCUGUCACUUAUAGCUGGAUCCGCGCUGUAUUAGCUAGUUGCUAAGGUAACGGCUUACGAAGGCAACGAUGGGUAGCCGAACUGAGAGGGUGAUCGGCCACAUGGGAGGUUGGACACGGACCAGACUCCUACGGGAGGGAGCAGUCGGCAAUGGUAGGCAGUGGGCGGAAACCUGGCGGAACAGCGCCGCGUGAGUGAUGGAGGUCCUCCGAGCGUAAAGCUCGGUUAUGAGGGAUGAACAUAUUUGGAAGUGGCCGUACACAUCUUGACGGUACCUAAUCAGAAAGCCACGGCUAACUACGUG
This 497-nucleotide ribosomal RNA is filed under the name uncultured bacterium. Its description in RNAcentral is "partial 16S ribosomal RNA". It matches the Rfam family "Bacterial small subunit ribosomal RNA", at positions 28 to 507 of the family's 1533-position model. The record is from RNAcentral.